GACGAACGCUGGCGGCGUGCCUAAUACAUGCAAGUUGAGCGCUGAAGGUUGGUACUUGUACCGACUGGAUGAGCAGCGAACGGGUGAGUAACGCGUGGGGAAUCUGCCUUUGAGCGGGGGACAACAUUUGGAAACGAAUGCUAAUACCGCAUAAAAACUUAAAACACAAGUUUUAAGUUUGAAAGAUGCAAUUGCAUCACUCAAAGAUGAUCCCGCGUUGUAUUAGCUAGUUGGUGAGGUAAAGGCUCACCAAGGCGAUGAUACAUAGCCGACCUGAGAGGGUGAUCGGCCACAUUGGGACUGAGACACGGCCCAAACUCCUACGGGAGGCAGCAGUAGGGAAUCUUCGGCAAUGGACGAAAGUCUGACCGAGCAACGCCGCGUGAGUGAAGAAGGUUUUCGGAUCGUAAAACUCUGUUGGUAGAGAAGAACGUUGGUGAGAGUGGAAAGCUCAUCAAGUGACGGUAACUACCCAGAAAGGGACGGCUAACUACGUG
Molecule: ribosomal RNA, 497 nt
Filed under: uncultured bacterium
Lineage: Bacteria
Description: partial 16S ribosomal RNA
Rfam family: Bacterial small subunit ribosomal RNA
Source: RNAcentral